AGAGUUUGAUCCUGGCUCAGAACGAACGCUGGCGGCGUGCUUAACACAUGCAAGUCGAGUGCGCGUCCGUAGCAAUACGGAUGGCGCACGGCGCACGGGUGCGUAACACGUGGGCAAUCUACCCUUCGAUGGGGAAUAACUCGCCGAAAGGCGAGCUAAUUCCGCAUAACAUUCCUUGGACUGCGGUUCGAGGACUCAAAGCCGUAAGGCGUCGAAGGAGGAGCCCGCGCACGAUUAGCUAGUUGGUAGGGUAAUGGCCUACCAAGGCUUUGAUCGUUAGCUGGUCUGAGAGGAUGGCCAGCCACACUGGAACUGAGACACGGUCCAGACUCCUACGGGAGGCAGCAGUGGGGAAUCUUGCACAAUGGGCGAAAGCCUGAUGCAGCGACGCCGCGUGGGGGAUGAAGCAUUUCGGUGUGUAAACCCCUUUCGAUCCGGACGAAUACCUCGCAAGAGGGGUGACGGUACGGAUAUAAGAAGCCCCGGCUAACUACGUGCCAGCAGCCGCGGUAAGACGUAGGGGGCCAGCGUUGUUCGGAAUUACUGGGUGUAAAGGGUUCGUAGGCGGUGUGGCAAGUUGGGAGUGAAAUCUCUGGGCUCAACCCAGAGACUGCUUCCAAAACUGCUGUGCUUGAGUGUGAGAGAGGCUCGUGGAAUUGCAGGUGUAGCGGUGAAAUGCGUAGAUAUCUGCAGGAACACCCGUGGCGAAAGCGGCGAGCUGGAUCACUACUGACGCUGAGGAACGAAAGCUAGGGGAGCAACAGGAUUAGAUACCCUAGUAGUCC
RNAcentral lists this ribosomal RNA (785 nucleotides) under uncultured bacterium. RNAcentral describes it as "bacterial SSU rRNA". It matches the Rfam family "Bacterial small subunit ribosomal RNA", at positions 8 to 796 of the family's 1533-position model. The record is from RNAcentral.